Molecule: long non-coding RNA, 451 nt
Organism: Xenia sp. Carnegie-2017
Lineage: Eukaryota; Metazoa; Cnidaria; Anthozoa; Malacalcyonacea; Xeniidae
Exons: 2
Source: RefSeq, a predicted model, not a curated record
CUUUUGCUUAUCUCAUCCUCUUUAAUGGCCGACACAUUGAAUUAUUACAACGACCGUAAAGUGUGCGAGCUUUUAGACGAGAUAGAUCAAAAACAAAAAUGCGCACAUCUAAUCGUGGGAACGGUAUGUGGUUUUAUUACAAUGGUGAUAUUCAUCUUAGACGCAGUUUUACAUUUCUUGAUAACAAAUGAACGAUCAUAUACAACAACUGCAACGUCGACGACAGUCACAGUGUAGGGGAAAAACCCGUCGACGACAGAAACUCGACCAUUCAGCAUUUAUCGUAGGUGAUUUGACUCUUUCUUAACUCUCAUUUGUAAACUCAUAACGUAUGGUACAUAAAUGCUAGAAAAGAUUACUGUAAAACUCAACACGUUCAUAUUAAAAUACUCAAACCAUUUUUGUUAAUGUGUCAACAGCUAAAUAAAUGGCAAGGAAGCAUUAUGAGAUA